Molecule: ribosomal RNA, 180 nt
Filed under: uncultured bacterium
Lineage: Bacteria
Description: partial 16S ribosomal RNA
Rfam family: Bacterial small subunit ribosomal RNA
Source: RNAcentral
CAUGAAGCCGGAAUUGCUAGUAAUGGCAGGUCAGCAUACUGCCGUGAAUACGUUCCCGGGCCUUGUACACACCGCCCGUCACACCAUGAGAGUUGGGAAUACCCGAAGCCUGUGAGCUAACGUAAGAGGCAGCAGUCGAAGGUAGAAUCAAUGAUUGGGGUGAAGUCGUAACAAGGUACC